UGCGGAGGAAAUCCUCAAUAGUUAACUGCCGCCGGUUUUCUAAAACUUCGGCAGUUAACUGCCGAGGGACAU
This 72-nucleotide microRNA precursor is filed under the name Medicago truncatula (barrel medic). Its description in RNAcentral is "MIR2629 microRNA precursor family". It matches the Rfam family "MIR2629 microRNA precursor family". Lineage: Eukaryota; Viridiplantae; Streptophyta; Magnoliopsida; Fabales; Fabaceae. The record is from Rfam by way of RNAcentral.